GGUCGGAGCUGUAAUGCAGCGGGCAGUAUCCAGUGGAAAUUCGGGGCAGCUUCUGUAUGAAGCACCAGUAGGUGGUCUCUUGACUCGGUAUGAUGACGUUCGGCGCCAGGACCUCCAGCGUCCGCACAUCUGGAGGCAGUGUGGGUGAGGGCGUGUCGGGCCGCAGCAUCAGCACUCUCUGUAGCCCGGUGUGGAUCCGGGACAGGUUCAGCUGCUCCAGAGAGAGCAAUAAAAAUACUACAAAACACAGAUACACACCCUCCCACGCACACAUGGGCACGGUGCAAACACACUUGUCUCUAGGUUACACACAUGCGCGCACCCAAACCCCAUCUUUCCCGCCCUCCUCCAGUGUCAUCUGCUUCUACUCGCCACCUGUUACCUGUCAAGUUCAGUCAGUUCAGGAUUGACAGACGUGAUUCUGGCUUGUGGCAGAGUGUGACAUAUAAAAGCGAGAUGUGUGCUCGCCCUUUACAUUCCU
Acanthopagrus latus (yellowfin seabream) is the source of this 481-nucleotide long non-coding RNA. RefSeq lists it as uncharacterized. Lineage: Eukaryota; Metazoa; Chordata; Actinopteri; Spariformes; Sparidae. The record is from RefSeq and is a predicted model, not a curated record. The transcript is spliced from 3 exons.